This is an RNA transcript of Haliotis rufescens (red abalone), 647 nucleotides long. RefSeq lists it as uncharacterized. NCBI's taxonomy places the organism in Eukaryota, Metazoa, Mollusca, Gastropoda, Lepetellida, Haliotidae. The transcript is spliced from 6 exons. The record is from RefSeq and is a predicted model, not a curated record.
CUAAACGGUCAUCGCCAUUGCUGUCACUGAACUUGUCACACUCAGUAUUCAUCACUUGUCUACGUUGUAUUGGGAUCAUGUCUACCUACGCUAAUAUGAACCAGUACGAUAAAGCUCGCCUAGGCCCAAGGUAGACGGUAAUGGAAGCCUCGGACUGUUGGAGACAAAGCUCGCCUAGGCCCAAGGUAGACGGUAAUGGAAGCCUCGGACUGUUGGAGACAAAGCUCACCUAGGCCCAAGGUAGACGGUAAUGGAAGCCUCGGACUGUUGGAGACAAAGCUCACCUAGGCCCAAGGUAGACGGUAAUGGAAGCCUUGGACUGUUGGAGACAAAGUUCCUGUAUUCCAAGGGUGGAUCCAGCAUUUUUAAAGGGGAGGGGUCGGGAUUUUCCCCCACCUAUCUGGAUCAGCCUCGGGGAUACAACCACAAAUGUCCUUCUGUUGUCGCCAUGAACGCUACCGCAUACAAUCCAGGGGCCAUCUCACAAGUAUCCCGCGACAAGGAACCACCUCACUACCUACCAGAAGUUCCGUACAAAAUGUCUGUUUUCAGAUUAAAUACUUUUUUUAACACAAUUUCUUUCUUGUAUGGAUGAGAAUAUCCACAAUUAUGCAAAGAUAAUCCAAUAAAAGAAUUUUAAACAAAAA